Astyanax mexicanus (Mexican tetra) is the source of this 947-nucleotide long non-coding RNA. RefSeq lists it as uncharacterized. The record is from RefSeq and is a predicted model, not a curated record. Lineage: Eukaryota; Metazoa; Chordata; Actinopteri; Characiformes; Acestrorhamphidae. The transcript has 3 exons.
UGUCAUAAAAAGGUUCUAGAGAUGCUGAGCUCUUUCUUUCACUCCAUCAAGGGUAUAGCUAAUUGCGAAUGCUACAUCAAAGCUAUAGCUAGUGCUACAUCAAAGCUAUAGCUAGUGCUGCAUCAAAGCUAUAGUUAGUGCCACAUCAAAGCUAUAGCUAGUGCUACAUCAAAGCUAUAGCUAGUGCUGCAUCAAAGCUAUAGCUAGUGCUACAUCAAAGGUAUAGCUAGAGAUACAUCAAAGCUAUAGCUAGUGCUACAUCAAAGGUAUAGCUAGAGAUACAUCAAAGCUAUAGCUAGUGCUACAUCAAAGCUAUAGCUAGUGCUGCAUCAAAGCUAUAGCUAGUGCUACAUCAAAGCUAUAGCUAGUGCUACAUCAAAGGUAUAGCUAGAGAUACAUCAAAGCUAUAGCUAGUGCUACAUCAAAGCUAUAGCUAGUGCUGCAUCAACGCUAUAGCUAGUGCUACAUCAAAGGUAUAGCUAGAGCUACAUCAAAGCUAUAGCUAGUGCUACAUCAAAGCUAUAGCUAGUGCUACAUCAAAGCUAUAGCUAGUGCUACAUCAAAGCUAUAGCUAGUGCUGCAUCAAAGCUAUAGCUAGUGCUGCAUCAAAGCUAUAGCUAGUGCUACAUCAAAGCUAUAGCUAGUGCUGCAUCAAAGCUAUAGCUAGUGCUACAUCAAAGGUAUAGCUAGAGAUACAUCAAAGCUAUAGCUAGUGCUACAUCAAAGCUAUAGCUAGUGCUGCAUCAAAGCUAUAGCUAGUGCUACAUCAAAGCUAUAGCUAGUGCUACAUCAAAGCUAUAGCUAGUGCUGCAUCAAAGCUAUAGCUAGUGCUACAUCAAAGCUAUAGCUAGUGCUACAUCAAAGCUAUAGCUAGUGCUACAUCAAAGCUAUAGCUAGUGCUACAUCAAAGCUAUAGCUAGUGCUGCAUCAAAGUUAAUACUGGUGCU